This is a long non-coding RNA of Adelges cooleyi (spruce gall adelgid), 725 nucleotides long. RefSeq lists it as uncharacterized. NCBI's taxonomy places the organism in Eukaryota, Metazoa, Arthropoda, Insecta, Hemiptera, Adelgidae. The transcript is spliced from 3 exons. The record is from RefSeq and is a predicted model, not a curated record.
UAAUUAAAUCCAAUACUAUUAAUUUGUGUAAUGUCAAUUUCAGGCAAACUUAAUUUUAUGAUCGCUGUACCAAGUAAUUGUAAUUAGUAGUAGUAGAAUUGUAUGAAAAUAUUGCCAAUAUUUCAUUCCUAUUUAAUUUUCCAAAGAAAUUCCUGUCGGAUUGAAUAUACAGUGGAGCACAUUUCUUCCAAGUUACUAAUGUAACACACGUUUUUUUCAACCUUGAUCUUCAUCAUUCUGUUUAUAAUAUAAAAGAACAUUAAAUGCAAUAUCAUUAAUUUAUGUAAUGUUAAUUUUAGACAAACUAGAUUUUUCCAUCUGUAUACCGGAUUCAGAUUUAAGACCCAUUCCAGUUAUGGACAAACUGCUUGAUUACCAGGAUAUUAUGGGAUGGAAAAUAAGACGACAUUAAGUAAAUAUUACAUUUUAAACAUUUAUAAUUAUACUAGUUUGAGGUUAUAAAGAAAAACUAUAAAAAAAAAUCGAUUUAAAGCUUAAAGUCGUAAAGCUAUACAAUAUGAUUUAUGUUUAAGCCUCUGAUAAUCAUUAGAAUUAAAAUAUAAAAGGGUUUAUUAGUACGUUGCUAUUAGAUAUAAUUUAACAAUUAUGGAAUAAUAUUUUGCAUAAAGGAAUUGCAUGCGGUCUGGUUUUAAGGAGUUUUAUAAAGGCAAAAUUUAAGAAAACUUGGUUUUAAUAAACUUUGACAAUGACGAUUAAUAUUCCAA